AGUGAACGCUGGCGGUAGGCCUAACACAUGCAAGUCGAACGGCAGCACAGUAAGAGCUUGCUCUUACGGGUGGCGAGUGGCGGACGGGUGAGGAAUACAUCGGAAUCUACUUUUUCGUGGGGGAUAACGUAGGGAAACUUACGCUAAUACCGCAUACGACCUACGGGUGAAAGCAGGGGAGCUUCGGACCUUGCGCGAUUGAAUGAGCCGAUGUCGGAUUAGCUAGUUGGCGGGGUAAAGGCCCACCAAGGCGACGAUCCGUAGCUGGUCUGAGAGGAUGAUCAGCCACACUGGAACUGAGACACGGUCCAGACUCCUACGGGAGGCAGCAGUGGGGACUAUUGGACAAUGGGCGCAAGCCUGAUCCAGCCAUACCGCGUGGGUGAAGAAGGCCUUCGGGUUGUAAAGCACUUUUGUUGGGAAAGAAAAGCAGCAGGUUAAUACCCCGCUGUUCUGACGGUACCCAAAGAAUAAGCACCGGCUAACUUCGUG
This 492-nucleotide ribosomal RNA is filed under the name uncultured bacterium. RNAcentral's name for it is "partial 16S ribosomal RNA". It matches the Rfam family "Bacterial small subunit ribosomal RNA", at positions 29 to 507 of the family's 1533-position model. The record is from RNAcentral.